GCUUUGUCCCAAUAUAAUUUGUGUUUUCUGACAUUGUAUCAAGAAUGUAUUUGCUAUGUGGACUGUUUAUGAUUUUAAUUUGUAUUUUUGUAAUUGGUUUUUAUUGAACGAUCUUGGGUACCUGAUUAUGUCUAUUUUUGUAGCGUUUGCAGCAAGACAUUUUUCAUCAGUUGAAGUGUUCUUUACAUAUAUUUUUGAUAAUUUAAGUAUAAUGACUUGGUCUUGUUUUGCAGUUAUAAACCCUUCAGUCUCAGAACAGACUACUCUGGAUAAGCCAAGAAUUUAUUGUUUUUCUGUUAAUUUCUAAUUGUACCAGGUUUUUAUAGUGCUUUCCAUGAAUAAUCUUUCAUACCAAGAUUGCAAU
RNAcentral lists this long non-coding RNA (364 nucleotides) under Androctonus crassicauda. The record is from RNAcentral. Lineage: Eukaryota; Metazoa; Arthropoda; Arachnida; Scorpiones; Buthidae.